CCUACGGGAGGCAGCAGUGAGGAAUAUUGGUCAAUGGGCUUACGCCUGAACCAGCCAAGUCGCGUGAGGGAAGACUGCCCUAUGGGUUGUAAACCUCUUUUGUCCGGGAGCAAUUGGCGCUACGUGUAGCGUUAUCGAGAUUACCUGCAGAAAAGGCAUCGCCUAAUUCCGUGCCAGCAGCCCCGGUAAUACGGAGGAUGCGAGCGUUAUCCGGUUUUAUUGGGUUUAAAGGGUGCGUAGCCGGAAUGCCAAGUCAGCGGUAAAGUCGCGGGGCUCAACCUCGCUCCGCCGUUGAUACUGGCGUUCUUGAGUGGGCGAGAAGUAUGCGGAAUGCGUGGUGUAGCGGUGAAAUGCAUAGAUAUCACGCAGAACUCCGAUUGCGAAGGCAGCAUACCGGCGCCCAACUGACGCUGAAGCACGAAAGCGUGGGUAUCGAACAGGAUUAGAUACCCGGGUAGUC
RNAcentral lists this ribosomal RNA (460 nucleotides) under uncultured bacterium. RNAcentral describes it as "partial 16S ribosomal RNA". It matches the Rfam family "Bacterial small subunit ribosomal RNA", at positions 338 to 795 of the family's 1533-position model. The record is from RNAcentral.